This 2441-nucleotide ribosomal RNA is filed under the name Staphylococcus aureus M1275. Its description in RNAcentral is "bacterial LSU rRNA". It matches the Rfam family "Bacterial large subunit ribosomal RNA", at positions 3 to 2442 of the family's 2925-position model. The record is from RNAcentral. Lineage: Bacteria; Bacillati; Bacillota; Bacilli; Caryophanales; Staphylococcaceae.
UUAAGUUAUUAAGGGCGCACGGUGGAUGCCUUGGCACUAGAAGCCGAUGAAGGACGUUACUAACGACGAUAUGCUUUGGGGAGCUGUAAGUAAGCUUUGAUCCAGAGAUUUCCGAAUGGGGAAACCCAGCAUGAGUUAUGUCAUGUUAUCGAUAUGUGAAUACAUAGCAUAUCAGAAGGCACACCCGGAGAACUGAAACAUCUUAGUACCCGGAGGAAGAGAAAGAAAAUUCGAUUCCCUUAGUAGCGGCGAGCGAAACGGGAAGAGCCCAAACCAAAAAGCUUGCUUGUUGGGGUUGUAGGACACUCUAUACGGAGUUACAAAGGACGACAUUAGACGAAUCAUCUGGAAAGAUGAAUCAAAGAAGGUAAUAAUCCUGUAGUCGAAAAUGUUGUCUCUCUUGAGUGGAUCCUGAGUACGACGGAGCACGUGAAAUUCCGUCGGAAUCUGGGAGGACCAUCUCCUAAGGCUAAAUACUCUCUAGUGACCGAUAGUGAACCAGUACCGUGAGGGAAAGGUGAAAAGCACCCCGGAAGGGGAGUGAAAUAGAACCUGAAACCGUGUGCUUACAAGUAGUCAGAGCCCGUUAAUGGGUGAUGGCGUGCCUUUUGUAGAAUGAACCGGCGAGUUACGAUUUGAUGCAAGGUUAAGCAGUAAAUGUGGAGCCGUAGCGAAAGCGAGUCUGAAUAGGGCGUUUAGUAUUUGGUCGUAGACCCGAAACCAGGUGAUCUACCCUUGGUCAGGUUGAAGUUCAGGUAACACUGAAUGGAGGACCGAACCGACUUACGUUGAAAAGUGAGCGGAUGAACUGAGGGUAGCGGAGAAAUUCCAAUCGAACCUGGAGAUAGCUGGUUCUCUCCGAAAUAGCUUUAGGGCUAGCCUCAAGUGAUGAUUAUUGGAGGUAGAGCACUGUUUGGACGAGGGGCCCCUCUCGGGUUACCGAAUUCAGACAAACUCCGAAUGCCAAUUAAUUUAACUUGGGAGUCAGAACAUGGGUGAUAAGGUCCGUGUUCGAAAGGGAAACAGCCCAGACCACCAGCUAAGGUCCCAAAAUAUAUGUUAAGUGGAAAAGGAUGUGGCGUUGCCCAGACAACUAGGAUGUUGGCUUAGAAGCAGCCAUCAUUUAAAGAGUGCGUAAUAGCUCACUAGUCGAGUGACACUGCGCCGAAAAUGUACCGGGGCUAAACAUAUUACCGAAGCUGUGGAUUGUCCUUUGGACAAUGGUAGGAGAGCGUUCUAAGGGCGUUGAAGCAUGAUCGUAAGGACAUGUGGAGCGCUUAGAAGUGAGAAUGCCGGUGUGAGUAGCGAAAGACGGGUGAGAAUCCCGUCCACCGAUUGACUAAGGUUUCCAGAGGAAGGCUCGUCCGCUCUGGGUUAGUCGGGUCCUAAGCUGAGGCCGACAGGCGUAGGCGAUGGAUAACAGGUUGAUAUUCCUGUACCACCUAUAAUCGUUUUAAUCGAUGGGGGGACGCAGUAGGAUAGGCGAAGCGUGCGAUUGGAUUGCACGUCUAAGCAGUAAGGCUGAGUAUUAGGCAAAUCCGGUACUCGUUAAGGCUGAGCUGUGAUGGGGAGAAGACAUUGAGUCUUCGAGUCGUUGAUUUCACACUGCCGAGAAAAGCCUCUAGAUAGAAAAUAGGUGCCCGUACCGCAAACCGACACAGGUAGUCAAGAUGAGAAUUCUAAGGUGAGCGAGCGAACUCUCGUUAAGGAACUCGGCAAAAUGACCCCGUAACUUCGGGAGAAGGGGUGCUCUUUAGGGUUAACGCCCAGAAGAGCCGCAGUGAAUAGGCCCAAGCGACUGUUUAUCAAAAACACAGGUCUCUGCUAAACCGUAAGGUGAUGUAUAGGGGCUGACGCCUGCCCGGUGCUGGAAGGUUAAGAGGAGUGGUUAGCUUCUGCGAAGCUACGAAUCGAAGCCCCAGUAAACGGCGGCCGUAACUAUAACGGUCCUAAGGUAGCGAAAUUCCUUGUCGGGUAAGUUCCGACCCGCACGAAAGGCGUAACGAUUUGGGCACUGUCUCAACGAGAGACUCGGUGAAAUCAUAGUACCUGUGAAGAUGCAGGUUACCCGCGACAGGACGGAAAGACCCCGUGGAGCUUUACUGUAGCCUGAUAUUGAAAUUCGGCACAGCUUGUACAGGAUAGGUAGGAGCCUUUGAAACGUGAGCGCUAGCUUACGUGGAGGCGCUGGUGGGAUACUACCCUAGCUGUGUUGGCUUUCUAACCCGCACCACUUAUCGUGGUGGGAGACAGUGUCAAGCGGGCAGUUUGACUGGGGCGGUCGCCUCCUAAAAGGUAACGGAGGCGCUCAAAGGUUCCCUCAGAAUGGUUGGAAAUCAUUCAUAGAGUGUAAAGGCAUAAGGGAGCUUGACUGCGAGACCUACAAGUCGAGCAGGGUCGAAAGACGGACUUAGUGAUCCGGUGGUUCCGCAUGGAAGGGC